Molecule: ribosomal RNA, 250 nt
Filed under: uncultured archaeon
Lineage: Archaea
Description: partial 16S ribosomal RNA
Rfam family: Archaeal small subunit ribosomal RNA
Source: RNAcentral
UACGUAGGUCCCGAGCGUUGUCCGCUUUUAUUGGGCCUAAAGCGUCCGUAGCCGGUCUGAUAAGUCUCUGGUGAAAUCCCACAGCUUAACUGUGGGAAUUGCUGGAGAUACUAUCAUGACUCGAGGUCGGGAGAGGCUGGAGGUACUCCCAGGGUAGGGGUGAAAUCCUGUAAUCCUGGGAGGACCACCUGUGGCGAAGGCGUCCAGCUGGAACGAACCUGACGGUGAGGGACGAAAGCCAGGGGCGCGA